UCAAACUCCAUGCUGAGACGGUGGUUGAUGCUCUAGUUUCUGUUGACAACAUCAAUGAAUUGUGUGGAACCCGGCAUUUUUCUUCACAGUCAAGUUCAGUUCUUCAUCUAAAUCGCAAUCUCUCCACCGCCAUGAAAGAGGACCAUCAGCAGCCAGAGCCCGUGUUUCUCAGCUCUGGAACCCGAUCAGAAAGGAAUGUUUUCUGGCCUCUUUCUCCAUCAUUCUGCAGCUCCGGUCAGCCUGUCACCCGAGCCCUGUGAUAUACUGUAGGCUCCUCCGUCCUUUAUGUGCCGUUCUCCGGGGACGGCCCACACAGAGGAGCAUUGUAGGACGGCAGACACAAUGGGUCAGUGGCUCUCAGGUUUGCUUUAUGAGCGAGUGUUUGGUGCAGUUGAGUGGAGAUGUAUAGAUGAGGGUCCGAUAUCGCUUUCCUUCAUUCAUCUUCCUCCAGCCGCCCCACAUUAACACUUUUACAGCAGAUUUGUGUGUCUGCAUUUGUCCUGCUGGAGAAACCGCCUCCAUCUUUAUGGUUUUGGCAA
This 539-nucleotide long non-coding RNA is filed under the name Danio rerio (zebrafish). RNAcentral describes it as "lncRNA si:ch1073-20k20.1 (ENSDARG00000105356.2)". Lineage: Eukaryota; Metazoa; Chordata; Actinopteri; Cypriniformes; Danionidae. The record is from RNAcentral.